AACAUAACCUUUAGCCAAACAAAUAUUAAAGGCAACGCCUGCCCAGUGAACAAUUAAACGGCCGCGGUACCCUAACCGUGCAAAGGUAGCGUAAUCAUUUGUCUACUAAUUAUAGACCUGUAUGAAAGGCAAAAUGAGGGCCUGACUGUCUCUUAUAAUAAAUCAAUUAAACUGAUCUUCUAGUAAAAAAGCUAGAAUUCCAACAUAAGACCAGAAGACCCUGUGAAGCUUAAACUAAACCAUUAAACCCAAUAAUGACUACUUUCGGUUGGGGCGACCUUGGAAAAAAAAAGAACUUCCAAACAAUGUGACUAUACUCACACUAUAAACCAGGCCUACAAGCCAAUAAACGACCCAGCACAGCUGACAAAUGAACCAAGUUACUCCAGGGAUAACAGCGCAAUCUUCUUCAAGAGCCCAUAUCAAAAAGAAGGUUUACGACCUCGAUGUUGGAUCAGGACAUCCUAAUGGUGCAGCCGCUAUUAAGGGUUCGUUUGUUCAACGAUUAAUAGUCCUAC
RNAcentral lists this ribosomal RNA (518 nucleotides) under Ptyas dhumnades. RNAcentral's name for it is "partial large subunit ribosomal RNA". It matches the Rfam family "Bacterial large subunit ribosomal RNA", at positions 1812 to 2599 of the family's 2925-position model. The record is from RNAcentral. Lineage: Eukaryota; Metazoa; Chordata; Lepidosauria; Squamata; Colubridae.